This 440-nucleotide ribosomal RNA is filed under the name uncultured bacterium. RNAcentral's name for it is "partial 16S ribosomal RNA". It matches the Rfam family "Bacterial small subunit ribosomal RNA", at positions 338 to 795 of the family's 1533-position model. The record is from RNAcentral.
CCUACGGGUGGCAGCAGUGGGGAAUAUUGCACAAUGGGGGAAACCCUGAUGCAGCGACGCCGCGUGAGUGAAGAAGUAAUUCGUUAUGUAAAGCUCUAUCAGCAGGGAAGAAAAUGACGGUACCUGAGUAAGAAGCCCCGGCUAACUACGUGCCAGCAGCCGCGGUAAUACGUAGGGGGCAAGCGUUAUCCGGAUUUACUGGGUGUAAAGGGAGCGUAGACGGCAGUGCAAGUCUGGAGUGAAAUCCCUCGGCUUAACUGAGGAACUGCAACUAAAACUACUUCCCUUGAGUACUGGAGAGGAAAGUGGAAUUCCUAGUGUAGCGGUGAAAUGCGUAGAUAUUAGGAGGAACACCAGUGGCGAAGGCGACUUUCUGGACAGUAACUGACGUUGAGGCACGAAAGUGUGGGGAGUAAACAGGAUUAGAUACCCUGGUAGUC